UCCAGGCUUUCUGUGUCAAGAUAUGCCACAGCUUUAGAAAUUGGAGCAGCACAAGCACAUGGAAAAUAUUUCCCAGUUACAGUGUGAAGAAACUAAGCAGGAGGGACUUUUCCAAAUUGCCAUCUGCCUAAGGGAAGGGACAGCAUAGAGCUGCACUAUUCCUGGACUAAAGAAAGGACCAGCUAGUUACCAGGUCUUCCUUGUUCUCCGCAGAAAGUUAUCACAGCCCACCUCAGGUGGUUUGCUCCUGCACUGCCUUGUUCAUGCUACCAGUGGCUUUAGUAAAGACAUAAGCAAAUUUC
Molecule: long non-coding RNA, 302 nt
Organism: Pezoporus flaviventris
Lineage: Eukaryota; Metazoa; Chordata; Aves; Psittaciformes; Psittacidae
Exons: 2
Source: RefSeq, a predicted model, not a curated record